GACGAACGCUGGCGGCGUGCCUAACACAUGCAAGUCGAGCGAGUGAAUCUCCAUCGGGAGUGGAUUAGCGGCGGGCGGGUGAGUAACACGUGGGUAACCUGCCUCAUAGAGGGGAAUAGCCUUCCGAAAGGAAGAUUAAUACCGCAUAAGAUUGUAGUACCGCAUGGUAUAGCAAUUAAAGGAGCAAUCCGCUAUGAGAUGGACCCGCGUCGCAUUAGCUAGUUGGUGAGGUAACGGCUUACCAAGGCGACGAUGCGUAGCCGACCUGAGAGGGUGAUCGGCCACAUUGGGACUGAGACACGGCCCAGACUCCUACGGGAGGCAGCAGUGGGGAAUAUUGCACAAUGGGGGAAACCCUGAUGCAGCAACGCCGCGUGAGUGAUGACGGUCUUCGGAUUGUAAAGCUCUGUCUUCAGGGACGAUAAUGACGGUACCUGAGGAGGAAGCCACGGCUAACUACGUGCCAGCCGCCGCGGUAA
This 479-nucleotide ribosomal RNA is filed under the name uncultured bacterium. RNAcentral's name for it is "partial 16S ribosomal RNA". It matches the Rfam family "Bacterial small subunit ribosomal RNA", at positions 28 to 523 of the family's 1533-position model. The record is from RNAcentral.